Long non-coding RNA from Osmia lignaria (orchard mason bee), 1160 nucleotides. RefSeq lists it as uncharacterized. NCBI's taxonomy places the organism in Eukaryota, Metazoa, Arthropoda, Insecta, Hymenoptera, Megachilidae. The record is from RefSeq and is a predicted model, not a curated record.
CAGUAGUUCAGGAUGAGUUCUUCUAGUGAAACGACUCAAAGCACAGCUCCUCAACGCAGUAUCAUAGGUUGCAGAUCGACAAAUAAAGCUGAAUUCGUUUAGACAUCUUUGCAAGAGAAGAAUGCAGACGAAAGGUUGAAAAUCGAAGCUGGUACAGGCACGAACCAGGUUGUUCGUCGCCGUUCUGUCUCGUAGACAUAGUUCCUGACAUUUUUCUAAAACUCUAAAGGGUGGUGCCGAGUCUCUCACCUAAGAUGAGCGAUAAUUACAGAGCAUACAGAUGGAGUUUAUCAAAUCAAAAAGAGGAAGUCUUAUUUCGUGCUGGAUUGUUAAACAAUCGAAUAAGUUAUCAUUGACUUACCAUUGACCACUACUCUCAGAGUAGCAAGGAGAGAAAUUGAUUGCAAUCCUCUUCUUCGUGCAAGUACUUAAAUGGUCCUUCAUUUCCAAUCAAUAAUUACUGGAUUCAAUGACCAUUGAAACUUUAAUGAUCCUCCAAAGUUCGAACGAAGCCGAAGCACGCAAGCCAGUUACGAUAAUCAAGCAGAUAAUGGACAAGUAAUAAUGUAAUGCUUGAAAGUUGGAAACACGGUCCGUUGCUUUUACGGGCGUGUGCUGGUCCUUUGCCCUCGUGUAUGUACACACACACACACAUUCGGAGAAAAAGGUUCAUGGGGGUGCGAGCAUGUGGAGGUGUUCAGGGAGAUUAAAAUAAAAAGAAGAUGGUUGUAUAAAUUAACCCCUUUGAUCCAGGGCCUCGUACAUCCAUGAAAAUUGGAUUAGAAAUAUAUGACGAUACCUUAUUAACGUGUUUACACGGAUCUUCAAGCCCACCACUAGAUGUUCUUCCGUUCAAUGUCGAAGGCCUCGGAAGAAACGAUCUUCAACCGUCUACUGUUAAAAAAAAAAAGAUGAUAUAAUCCCAGUAAAAAGUCACCAGAACCGACCAUCCAACGCGAAUGGCACCUGUAAUCAAACUGGCGGUCAAAAUCAACGCAAACUGAAAAUAAUGGAUAACACCUGACAAACAGAUCUCAGAAGGGAUGGUACCAAGCUGUAGAUACUUUUGUAAAGGAAGAUUGAAGUUUGGGGAUGAUUAUGAGUGUGUAUGGCAUCGAAGACCCCCCGGGGAUACUAGUGUUGCAACGUUUGAGAAUCGG